CUAGGAUUGUCACCAUCCACAAUCACACAGCUAGUGAAGGGAAAGACCGUGACCCGAGCUAUGCCUGCUGACCGCGUGCCUCCUACGGUCCACCACGAGGCCAUGCUUGGUAGCCCCUUUGCCAGCAUUUAUCACAUCCCCUUCGCUAGCAUUUAUUACAUCUAAUUGAGUUGGCCAUUUCUUGUUCCUUUCUUCUUACAACACCUGCACAAUAAACCCUACACUUUGGGGACAAGUAAUUCAAUUAACUUUUAUUAGAUAACUGGGGGCAUUGAAAGAAGGGAUAUUUACAGAGUCAGGCAGAGUUCAGUGAUUUUUCAAGGAGGCCAUGUUUCCUGUGUCAUCAUUCACAAAACAUUUGAGGUGGAAUCUGUGAAUCAGGCCCUCUGUUUAGUGCUGGAGACAAAGGGAUGGAUCACAUGGGCAGUUCCCCUUGUCCGAUCAGGGAAAGUCUUUGCUUAUAGGACCAGUGAUCUCCUUUUCUUUAAGAGGGGCCAAUUCCCCACCAAGGAUGAUCUGGAGGGAACUGUCAAAGAUACAGCAAGUUCUGUUGCCUUGGGAGUGACUGUGAUCUCAACCGAUGAUGCUGUUUGUGCCAUAAAAUAAAAACCCAAAGUGAUUUAAUUGAUCCUGAGCUUGUCCUCUGAGUAGGGCAGCUGGCGUGGUUCGGUCCCACCAGGGAAGGCCAAUAUCCUGGUGCUGACCUCCAUGGCCAAUAACCUGGCUUCUCUGAACCAUUUCGGCUUUUGUUUCCUUGAAGACUGAGCGCUUUGGAGACUGAUGAUGUCAUGUGUCAGGUGAAGAUAGAAAGAAAAGACUAUAGAGAACUUUCUGGGUAGCUAAGAAAAUAAAUGAAGGUGGCAGAAACGAAUGCGACACCCUCAGCGUCUUCUACAAUGAUGAGAGGGAGGAGAAAGAUGGAGAGGAAAAUAUCGAAAGGUAUUUUCAACAAAAAUUACUGGGCGAUACGUCACACACGCUAAAGAGUGCGUACAACAUCCAUGUGCAGCUCAGUGAAUGCCAGCAUCCCUCUGUCCAGCUUAAGGAGACCUGCAGUGCCUCAAUGCUGAACCAUGGGGUGAAAUCUCCCCCACCAAGUAAACCCCAUCCUGAGCUUGCUUGUCAUUCUUGUGUUUAUCUUCGUGUCUUGGUACCUAUGUAUAAAUCAACAGACCAAAUGGUGUUUCGUUGUGCCCGUUUUUGAACUUUCUAUGUGGGAUGUGUGCAAUGUGUUACUAUGGCGGCUGUGAGAAUGUGCCUCAUGUUUCCUUCUACAGGGAGCGCCACUGACCGAGGGCUCAGCUGCUAAACUCUGAGGUUCAUGGGUGCUGGUGCCCAGGCUGCCUCCCACAUGCUGCUCGCUGGCGGUGGCUGUGGGGAGGAUGCUCAGGCAGCCCUGUUCCUGGAGGCAGGCCCUUUGCAGGCCAACUGUGGCUCCAUGACUCCCUGAAGCAUAUUUCUCGGACCACAUGGCGGUCUAGGAUGCUUCCGCC
RNAcentral lists this long non-coding RNA (1493 nucleotides) under Equus caballus (horse). RNAcentral's name for it is "lncRNA (ENSECAG00000057742.1)". Lineage: Eukaryota; Metazoa; Chordata; Mammalia; Perissodactyla; Equidae. The record is from RNAcentral.